AUUGAACGCUGGCGGCAGGCCUAACACAUGCAAGUCGAGCGAGCGGCGGACGGGUGAGUAAUGUCUGGGAAACUGCCUGAUGGAGGGGGAUACCUCCUGGAAACGGUAGCUAAUACAGCAUACCAGCCGAUGUGCCCAGAUGGGAUUAGCUAGUAGGUGGGGUAACGGCUCACCUAGGCGACGAUCCCUAGCUGGUCUGAGAGGAUGACCAGCCACACUGGAACUGAGACACGGUCCAGACUCCGACGGGAGGCAGCAGUGGGGAAUAUUGCACAAUGGGCGCAAGCCUGAUGCAGCCCUGCCGCGUGUGUGACGAAGGCCUUCGGGUUGUAAAGCACUUUCAGCGGGGAGGCGUUACCCGCAGAAGAAGCACCGGCUAACUCCGUGCCAGCCGCCGCGGUAAUUC
RNAcentral lists this ribosomal RNA (406 nucleotides) under uncultured bacterium. RNAcentral's name for it is "partial 16S ribosomal RNA". It matches the Rfam family "Bacterial small subunit ribosomal RNA", at positions 30 to 526 of the family's 1533-position model. The record is from RNAcentral.